UCCAGAGUUUCCAAGAUCUGGGGGAAAAAAACGAGCCCACAGAAAAAUGGGACUGAUUAGUACUACUCAACUUUUGCUUAUACACUUGGACUUGCAAGAAGAAUGAUAUAUUUUAGGGCAGGGCAACCUGAUACUGUUGUUCCUACAGUUAGCUACAAUGCAGAAGGAGUACUUGUGGCACCUUAGAGAC
This is a long non-coding RNA of Dermochelys coriacea (leatherback sea turtle), 190 nucleotides long. RefSeq lists it as uncharacterized. The record is from RefSeq and is a predicted model, not a curated record. The transcript has 3 exons. NCBI's taxonomy places the organism in Eukaryota, Metazoa, Chordata, Testudines, Dermochelyidae.